This 555-nucleotide ribosomal RNA is filed under the name uncultured bacterium. RNAcentral's name for it is "bacterial SSU rRNA". It matches the Rfam family "Bacterial small subunit ribosomal RNA", at positions 472 to 1024 of the family's 1533-position model. The record is from RNAcentral.
ACGGUACCUGCAGAAGAAGCCCCGGCUAACUACGUGCCAGCAGCCGCAGUAAUACGUAGGGGGCAAGCGUUGUCCGGAUUCAUUGGGCGUAAAGAGCUCGUAGGCGGUUCAGUAAGUCGGGUGUGAAAGCUCCGAGCUCAACUCGGAGAGGCCACCCGAUACUGCUGUGACUUGAGUCCAGUAGAGGAGCGUGGAACUCCUGGUGUAGCGGUGGAAUGCGCAGAUAUCAGGAAGAACACCUGCAGCGAAGGCGGCGCUCUGGGCUGGAACUGACGCUGAGGAGCGAAAGCGUGGGUAGCAAACAGGAUUAGAUACCCUGGUAGUCCACGCCGUAAACGUUGGGCACUAGGUGUGGGGAGCCGUCAACGCUCUCUGUGCCGUAGCUAACGCAUUAAGUGCCCCGCCUGGGGAGUACGGCCGCAAGGCUAAAACUCAAAGGAAUUGACGGGGGCCCGCACAAGCGGCGGAGCAUGUUGCUUAAUUCGAGGCAACGCGAAGAACCUUACCUAGGUUGAACUAUGCAGGAAAAGCCACAGAGAUGUGGUGUCCUUCGGG